Molecule: long non-coding RNA, 779 nt
Organism: Myotis davidii
Lineage: Eukaryota; Metazoa; Chordata; Mammalia; Chiroptera; Vespertilionidae
Exons: 2
Source: RefSeq, a predicted model, not a curated record
CUCGGGCUCCCCGCCCGCCUGGGUUACAGGAGGCCCCUCCGACGUGCCUCUCCGCAGAGACACACCAGGAAAAGGAGCAGAGAGGACAGGCGCCUCCGCCUCCUCUCCUCGCCGCGCUCACUCGCUAGUGCAGCACAGCAGCCACCCUGCGGGCCAGUCCAUCUCGCCCCACAGGAGGGGGGUAGGUUUCCGUGUUUACACGCAGGUGGGGAAAGUACCAUUUCCACCUGCGCUCCCCCGUGUCUGCAUCGUGGCUCUGACAGUCACGGCCCCCAGGCAGAGGCUCGCAUUGCAACCAGAGCCUUUUGCUUUUGAAGUUUCUUUCUGGGGCUGCAGACGAUGGGAAGGUGCACCGCUGAGCAGGGCAUGAGAGCUGACAGCCGCCUCCAAGCCACUCAAUGCCUCCGAGGCCACGCUAGGAGCUCCGGAUGGAAGUGCAAUGAAAGGAGUGCACCUCGCAAAAAUGGUAUUUGAUAGCCACAUUCCAGACACUUGGCCACACCUAUCACCUCAUUGUCAACUAGACCAUCCUGCAGCAAUCCCAGAUGAAACAGCGGCCAACGGCGAAAUCACAGGCUCUUCACGUAUGUGAACGGAGAGGAGCCGAAACCCCCCACCCUGACGGCACAGAACUUUCCCAGGCUCCCCUUUCUGAGGACUAGGGCGAGAUUCUGUGCAAACUGCUGCAAAUUUUAAGGAAACUAAAGUGAUUUAGGGAAGUUUUUUAUGGAGGUUAUUUGCCCAUAAAGAUCAACUAAUAAAAAGACCGUGUGUGUGUG